Molecule: non-coding RNA, 72 nt
Organism: Podarcis lilfordi (Lilford's wall lizard)
Lineage: Eukaryota; Metazoa; Chordata; Lepidosauria; Squamata; Lacertidae
Source: the annotation of a GenBank genome assembly
AGGGUUGUAACUCAGUGAUAGAGUGUCUGCUUUCUGUGCUGAAGGUCUCGGAUUCAAUCCCUGGCAUCUCCA